Molecule: long non-coding RNA, 645 nt
Organism: Patella vulgata (common limpet)
Lineage: Eukaryota; Metazoa; Mollusca; Gastropoda; Patellidae
Exons: 3
Source: RefSeq, a predicted model, not a curated record
GGGUCAAUGAGUCAAUGGUCGAAAUUAAUUAUGUAAUGUGGUCACAUGUAGCUGAAACACUUUAGACAUAGUUGUACUGUACUAUACUGUUUAUAUGAAUGUAUUACUUAUGUAUACAUGUAUAUAUUAUCAAAUCUAUAUGACUAUAUCUAAAUGUCUAUACACGCUAUAGCUGUCCUUAACCAGUUAUUUAAUGUUUAAUAUUGAACCCUCCUUGCAAAGUUGAUGUCUAAUUCCCUAAUGGCCCAAUUUAAUUUAAAGGGAAAUAAAGGGAGGCGGUCCAUAAUGGACUUAGAAAUUUACAAAGUUGUCCGAGAUAGUGUUAUGAUCAGUCAGCCGAGCUGCAAUGAAGCCGAGAUAAUAACAGCAGUUUCGGCUCAUCUAAAAUAUGAGCCGGACAGAAGAGGGACCAAUAAAGUACAUGUACAGUUUUAAUUUGUUUAUUACAUGUCAUAUUUUAUUAUAAUCUUUAUAAGCCAAUUUAAGUUCUUUUAUCAUCCAUUUAAUUUUAUUUUAUUUUCUAUGUGCGAUGUCCACAAAAAGUUAACUGCGCCAUUGAGCAUUGAGUGUUUUAUAUUGGUAAUAGGCGCAUUAUAAAUAAUAAAUUAUUAUUAUUAUUACAGUACCAAUUGCAUUAAAAUUACU